This 464-nucleotide ribosomal RNA is filed under the name Streptococcus cristatus. RNAcentral describes it as "bacterial SSU rRNA". It matches the Rfam family "Bacterial small subunit ribosomal RNA", at positions 28 to 476 of the family's 1533-position model. The record is from RNAcentral. Lineage: Bacteria; Bacillati; Bacillota; Bacilli; Lactobacillales; Streptococcaceae.
GACGAACGCUGGCGGCGUGCCUAAUACAUGCAAGUAGAACGCUGAAGGAGGAGCUUGCUCUUCUGGAUGAGUUGCGAACGGGUGAGUAACGCGUAGGUAACCUGCCUGGUAGCGGGGGAUAACUAUUGGAAACGAUAGCUAAUACCGCAUAACAUUGACUAUUGCAUGAUAGUUAAUUGAAAGGUGCAAAUGCACCACUACCAGAUGGACCUGCGUUGUAUUAGCUAGUUGGUGGGGUAACGGCUCACCAAGGCGACGAUACAUAGCCGACCUGAGAGGGUGAUCGGCCACACUGGGACUGAGACACGGCCCAGACUCCUACGGGAGGCAGCAGUAGGGAAUCUUCGGCAAUGGACGGAAGUCUGACCGAGCAACGCCGCGUGAGUGAAGAAGGUUUUCGGAUCGUAAAGCUCUGUUGUAAGAGAAGAACGAGUGUGAGAGUGAAAGUUCACAACUGUGACGGU